Molecule: ribosomal RNA, 497 nt
Filed under: uncultured bacterium
Lineage: Bacteria
Description: partial 16S ribosomal RNA
Rfam family: Bacterial small subunit ribosomal RNA
Source: RNAcentral
GAUGAACGCUGGCGGCGUGCCUAAUACAUGCAAGUCGAGCGAACAGAUAAGGCGCUUGCUCCUUUGACGUUAGCGGCGGACGGGUGAGUAACACGUGGGUAACCUACCUAUAAGACUGGAAUAACCCCGGGAAACCGGGGCUAAUGCCGGAUAACAUUUAGAACCGUAUGGUUGUAAAGUGAAAGAUGGUUUUGCUAUCACUUCUAGAUGGAUCCGCGCCGUAUUAGCUAGUUGGUAGGGUAACGGCUUACCACGGCAACGAGACGUAGCCGACCGGGCAGAGGGAUCGCCGACACGGGAAGGGGAACGGGGUCCAGAGGCCUGCGGGAGGGAGCAGUAGGGAACGGGACGCAAUGGGCGGAAGCCUGACGGAGCGACGCCGCGUGAGUGACGAAGGUCUUGGGAUCGUAAAAAUCUGUUAUGAGGGAAAAACAAAUGUGUAAGGAGAUGUGCAGGGCUUGACGGUAACGAAUCAGAAAGCCACGGCUAACUACGUG